AAUGUAGGUGUAAUUGAUGGCACAUUAUUCUAGUCAAUUACUUUAUUAGGAAGACGGGAUUAAACAACCGUUAUAGAGCAUAUCUGUGAAACCUUUGGUGUUUGCUUUAUACGCCCAGUGUAGGGUGGAUGCUGAAGAUGAGGAGAAUGGGCGCUCGUAAUGGCAUACGACAAACGACCCAUUAUCUGUGGAGACCUACUAUUUGUGAUAAGCCUAUACGUUUUAUACUGAUUGGACUUGUUACGAGGUAGGCUGGAACCUGUAUUGUGGCGAAAGUUAUGUGCAGUGUAGCUUGUCUUGAGUGAGAGCUUUGGGAUUAAAGAACUUGUUUAUUAGAGCUGGCCAACUUUGAUAAAUAUUGCUUUAUGAAAUUUCUCUUGCAAAAAAGAAUAAAUAAUAAAGUGUUGGUGAGGAAAUCUCCUAGAGUGCGCUUUACAUAGGAUUGCAGUGGAUACUAAGUGGUAAUCAAGUCGUAUGAAUGGUGACAUCAUACUUAUCUCUUUAAAGGGGAACCAUGUAUUUGGUAACGAAUACAUAGAGAUAAGGGAAAUCCUACUUGACCUAAGAUUCAAAGUUUACUAUGUUUAGAGCCAUUAGUUUUUUUUUAACU
This is a non-coding RNA of Mycoplasma sp. CAG:877, 610 nucleotides long. The record is from Rfam. Lineage: Bacteria; Bacillati; Mycoplasmatota; Mollicutes; Mycoplasmatales; Mycoplasmataceae.